Molecule: ribosomal RNA, 377 nt
Filed under: uncultured Glomus
Lineage: Eukaryota; Fungi; Glomeromycota; Glomeromycetes; Glomerales; Glomeraceae
Description: SSU rRNA
Rfam family: Eukaryotic small subunit ribosomal RNA
Source: RNAcentral
UUGAUGUCAUAAUUUGGUGUCUUGGGAAUCAGGACUGUUACUUUGAAAAAUUAGAGUGUUUAAAGCAGGCUCACGCUUGAAUACAUUAGCAUGGAAUAAUGAAAUAGGACGUUUGAUUCUAUUUGUUGGCUUCUAGGAUCGACGUAAUGAUUAAUAGGGAUAGUUGGGGGCAUUAGUAUUCAAUUGUCAGAGGUGAAAUUCUUGGAUUUAUUGAAGACUAACUACUGCGAAAAGCAUUUGCCAAGGAUGUUUUCAUUAAUCAAGAACGAAAGUUAGGGGAUCGAAGACGAUCAGAUACCGUCGUAGCCUUAACCAUAAACUAUGCCGACUAGGGAUCGGAUGAUGUUAAUUUUUAAUGACUCAUUCGGCGCCUUACG